UUUUGCUUUAAAAGGCCGGUGCUUGCCGGCAAUAAACGCCGCCUUGAUCAGACUCUUGUCUUGGCGUCCUUCCUUUCUCUCUGCCCCAUCUCCACCCCGCUGCUCUUUCAGGUUUGAGACACUGCUGGACAGUGCUCUGCGUCGCCGGCUCGCGACAGACAAAGACUAAGGUGCUUGCAACAGGCAUGACGUGGUACACCAGAGGCUGGAAGAACAUCAGAUUCCACCCACCCACAAUGUACUGUGUUUCCUCCACCCUCAGCACACAGAUCUACUACCAGCUGACCUAGUCACCUUCAACAGACCUGCUGGGAAUAAUGCUCACUAGAUGCAGUGAGAGACUGAGAUUUGCACACAUCCAAUAAAUUACAGAACCCUAUUUCAAGGCGAGGCCUCUCCGAGUCUGAAGGCUCAACUUAGUCUGAAGAUAUUUCUAGACAAGAACACACAGAAGGA
RNAcentral lists this long non-coding RNA (456 nucleotides) under Fukomys damarensis (Damara mole-rat). RNAcentral describes it as "lncRNA (ENSFDAG00000023712.1)". Lineage: Eukaryota; Metazoa; Chordata; Mammalia; Rodentia; Bathyergidae. The record is from RNAcentral.